GGCGCAGUGGCCAAGUGGUAAGGCGUCGGUCUCGUAAACCGAAGAAUAACGAGUUCGAACCUCGUCUGUGCCU
Molecule: non-coding RNA, 73 nt
Organism: Hydractinia symbiolongicarpus
Lineage: Eukaryota; Metazoa; Cnidaria; Hydrozoa; Anthoathecata; Hydractiniidae
Source: the annotation of a RefSeq genome assembly